This 719-nucleotide ribosomal RNA is filed under the name Aphelenchoides sp. Iran. Its description in RNAcentral is "eukaryotic LSU rRNA". It matches the Rfam family "Eukaryotic large subunit ribosomal RNA", at positions 384 to 953 of the family's 3401-position model. The record is from RNAcentral. Lineage: Eukaryota; Metazoa; Nematoda; Chromadorea; Rhabditida; Aphelenchoididae.
AGAGUGCAGAGACGUGAAACCGAUGUAAUGGAAGCGGAUGGAGCCAACGUAUCUAGUGCGUAUUCAUCUGUUUGGCUGUGUGGGCUUGGCGUUGGCAUUCCGCAAGGUUGUCGGCGUUGAGUUCUGUGCGGUUGAGCGGUGCACUUGCGUACGGAGUGCGCUGAGCUGGUUGACUUUGUGGUUGGAGGCGUUCCUAGUGGACCAUCUUCGGACGGAAACCUGGGUUCGUUGAAGACUGUCGAGGUUGGCUGUUGAGGCGGUAGGCUAACGCGUGCGGUUGGUCUGAGUAGUGGUGCGGAUUGGUAGCACAUGUGUUGCCGGUUUGUGCUGUUGCUUGGGCCGGUUGUGUGCUCUGCUGCUCGCUCGGUGUCUGGUUGGUCACCCAUCCGACCCGUCUUGAAACACGGACCAAGGAGUUUAAGGUGUACGCGAGUCAAUGGGCCUGGAAAACCCAAAGGCGAAAUGAAAGUGAAAUGCAUAGUGUUUGUGGUGCGAUCGGUUAGUGUUUCGAUGCUGGCCGAGCAGCACCGCUCCGUUCCUGGUACUUGUACUGGUGCGGAAGCUGAGCGUACGCUUUGAGACCCGAAAGAUGGUGAACUAUGCCUGAACAGGAUGAAGCCAGAGGAAACUCUGGUGGAAGUCCGAAGCGGUUCUGACGUGCAAAUCGAUCGUCUGAUCUAGGUAUAGGGGCGAAAGACUAAUCGAACUAUCUAGUACGG